GACGAACGCUGGCGGCGUGCUUAACACAUGCAAGUCGAGCGGUAAGGCCCUUCGGGUACGACGAGCGGCGAACGGGUGAGUAACACGUGGGUGACCUGCCUCUAGCUCUGGGAUAAGCCUGGGAAACUGGGUCUAAUACCGGAUAUGACACCACGGCGCAUGUUGUGGGGUGGAAAGCCUUGUGUGGCUAGAGAUGGGCCCGCGGCCUAUCAGCUUGUUGGUGGGGNGAUGGCCUACCAAGGCGACGACGGGUAGGCCGGCCUGAGAGGGCGGACCGGCCACACUGGGACUGAGACACGGCCCAGACUCCUACGGGAGGGCAGCAGUGGGGAAUCUUGCGCAAUGGGCGAAAGCCUGACGCAGCGACGCCGCGUGAGGGA
RNAcentral lists this ribosomal RNA (380 nucleotides) under uncultured bacterium. RNAcentral describes it as "bacterial SSU rRNA". It matches the Rfam family "Bacterial small subunit ribosomal RNA", at positions 28 to 408 of the family's 1533-position model. The record is from RNAcentral.